CCUAACGGCUGAACUGGCAACUUGGAGAAGUGGCAAGUCUUCCAGUAUGGGGAGCAAAACAGCUAUGGGUCAAGUCCGAUAUCUUUAGGAGAAGUCUUAUUGUGAGGGCGAGUUAUAUAACACCAUAGGACUGGCCGUCCCAUAUGAAAAGAUUAUAUUAGAAUUGAAUGAAGCUUUGUUUAUAUAUUGAUAAUGACAGUAUAUAUAUCGUGUCUUGACUAAUUGCGUGCCAGCAGUCGCGGUAAUACGUAAGAGACUAGUGUUAUUCAUCUUAAUUAGGUUUAAAGGGUACCCAGACGGUCAAUAUAGCUUAUAAAAUGUUAGUACUUGACUAGAGUUUUAUGUAAGAGGGCAGUACUUGAGGAGGAGAGAUGAAAUUUCGUGAUACCAAAGGGACUCUGUAAAGGCGAAGGCAGCCCUCUAUGUAAAAACUGACGUUGAAGGACGAAGGCACAGAGAACAAACAGGAUUAGAUACCCAAGUAGUCUUUGCAGUAAAUGAUGAAUGCCAUAGGUUAGAUUGAUCAAUUAUAGUCUAGGGUUAGUCUAGCAAACUAAUGCCCUAUGAUAUAAUUCAAAAUAUCUGGUCUAUAAAUGAAAGUGUAAGCAUUUCACCUCAAGAGUAAUGUGGCAACGCAGGAACUGAAAUCACUAGACCGUUUCUGACACC
RNAcentral lists this ribosomal RNA (669 nucleotides) under Fusarium oxysporum. RNAcentral describes it as "SSU rRNA". It matches the Rfam family "Bacterial small subunit ribosomal RNA", at positions 292 to 927 of the family's 1533-position model. The record is from RNAcentral. Lineage: Eukaryota; Fungi; Ascomycota; Sordariomycetes; Hypocreales; Nectriaceae.